GAUGAACGCUGGCGGCGUGCCUAAUACAUGCAAGUCGAGCGAACAGACGAGGAUCUUGCUCCACUGACGUUAGCGGCGGACGGGUGAGUAACACGUGGAUAACCUACCUAUAAGACUUGGAUACCUUCGGGAAACGGGAAUACCUACCAGGUACUAUUUUUAACCGCAUGGUGCAAUAGUGAAUGAGGGUUUUGCUGUCACUUAUAGACGUAUCAGCGCCGCAUUAGCGAGUUGGUAAGGUAACGGCUUACCAAGGCAACGAUGGGUGACCGACCUGAGAGGGUGAUCGGCCACACUGGAACUGAGACGCGGUCCAGACUCCUACGGGAGGCAGCAGUAGGGAAUCUUCCGCGAUGGGCGAAAGCCUGACGGAGCAGCGCCGCGUGAGUGAUGAAGGUCUUCGGAUCGUAAAACGCUGUUAUUAGGGAAGAACAAAUGUGUAAGUAACUAUGCACGUCUUGACGGUACCUAAUCAGAAAGCCACGGCUAACUACGUG
RNAcentral lists this ribosomal RNA (497 nucleotides) under uncultured bacterium. RNAcentral's name for it is "partial 16S ribosomal RNA". It matches the Rfam family "Bacterial small subunit ribosomal RNA", at positions 28 to 507 of the family's 1533-position model. The record is from RNAcentral.